This 1267-nucleotide ribosomal RNA is filed under the name metagenome. RNAcentral describes it as "bacterial LSU rRNA". It matches the Rfam family "Bacterial large subunit ribosomal RNA", at positions 1676 to 2925 of the family's 2925-position model. The record is from RNAcentral.
UUAUCCCAAGGCGCGUGAGAGAACGCUGGCUAAGGAACUCGGCAAAAUAGCACCGUAACUUCGGGAGAAGGUGUGCCCGCCGACGUGAUGGAACUUGCUUCCUGAGCGUUGGCGGGUCGCAGUGAAAUGGGGGUUGCGACUGUUUACUAAAAACACAGGACUGUGCGAACUCGUAAGAGGACGUAUACGGUCUGACGCCUGCCCGGUGCUGGAAGGUUAAGGGGAGAGGUUAGCGCAAGCGAAGCUUCGAACCGAAGCCCCAGUAAACGGCGGCCGUAACAAUAACGGUCCUAAGGUAGCGAAAUUCCUUGUCGGGUAAGUUCCGACCUGCACGAAGGGCGUAACGACAUCCCUACUGUCUCGGCCAGCGACUCAGCGAAAUUGUAUCGGGGGUGAAGAUACCCUCUACCCGCGGUAAGACGGAAAGACCCCAUGAACCUUUACUGCAACUUGGCAGUGAGGUUCGGAACAGUCUGCGUAGGAUAGGUAGGAGGCUUUGAAGUCGGGAUUCCGGUCUCGAUGGAGCCGUCGUUGAAAUACUACCCUGGCUUUUCUGGACUUCUAACCUAGGCCCCUCAACGGGGUCGGGGACACUGCCUGGUGGGCAGUUUGACUGGGGCGGUCGCCUCCCAAACAGUAACCGAGGCGCGCGAAGGUACCCUCAGGCUGAUUGGAAACCAGCCGGCGAGUGCAAUGGCACAAGGGUGCUUAACUGUGAGAGGGACACCUCGAGCAGGUGCGAAAGCAGGCCAUAGUGAUCCGGUGGUCCCGCAUGGAAGGGCCAUCGCUCAUCGGACAAAAGGUACUCUGGGGAUAACAGGCUGAUCGCGCCUGAGAGUCCAUAUCGGCGGCGCGGUUUGGCACCUCGAUGUCGGCUCAUCGCAUCCUGGGGCUGGAGCAGGUCCCAAGGGUUUGGCUGUUCGCCAAUUAAAGCGGUACGCGAGCUGGGUUUAGAACGUCGUGAGACAGUUCGGUCCCUAUCUGCCGUGGGCGCAGGAUACUUGAGAGGGGCUGUUCAUAGUACGAGAGGACCUGAACGGACGCACCUCUAGUGUUCCGGUUGUCAUGCCAAUGGCAUAGCCGGGUAGCUAUGUGCGGAACGGAUAACCGCUGAAAGCAUCUAAGCGGGAAGCCGGCCUCAAGACAAGGUAUCCCGGGGCAUAAGCCCCCUGAAGGCCCCUUGAAGACUACAAGGUGAUAGGCGGGAGGUAGAAGCGCAGCGAUGCGCGGAGCUGACCCGUACUAAUAGGCCGUGCGGCUUGACCAA